This 429-nucleotide ribosomal RNA is filed under the name Actinomycetes bacterium. Its description in RNAcentral is "Actinobacteria bacterium partial 16S ribosomal RNA". It matches the Rfam family "Bacterial small subunit ribosomal RNA", at positions 355 to 776 of the family's 1533-position model. Lineage: Bacteria; Bacillati; Actinomycetota; Actinomycetes. The record is from RNAcentral.
UAGGGAAUCUUCCGCAAUGGGCGAAAGCCUGACGGAGCAACGCCGCGUGAGUGAUGAAGGUCUUCGGAUCGUAAAACUCUGUUAUUAGGGAAGAACAAAUGUGUAAGUAACUAUGCACGUCUUGACGGUACCUAAUCAGAAAGCCACGGCUAACUACGUGCCAGCAGCCGCGGUAAUACGUAGGUGGCAAGCGUUAUCCGGAAUUAUUGGGCGUAAAGCGCGCGUAGGCGGUUUUUUAAGUCUGACGUGAAAGCCCACGGCUCAACCGUGGAGGGUCAUUGGAAACUGGAAAACUUGAGUGCAGAAGAGGAAAGUGGAAUUCCAUGUGUAGCGGUGAAAUGCGCAGAGAUAUGGAGGAACACCAGUGGCGAAGGCGACUUUCUGGUCUGUAACUGACGCUGAUGUGCGAAAGCGGGGGGAUCAAACAGG